UCUGGNUCAACUGGGGGCGUGCGGUGGGUACGGGCUGGCUUGAGUGCGGUAGGGGAGGCUGGAACUCCUGGUGUAGCGGUGGAAUGCGCAGAUAUCAGGAAGAACACCGGUGGCGAAGGCGGGUCUCUGGGCCGUUACUGACGCUGAGGAGCGAAAGCGUGGGGAGCGAACAGGAUUAGAUACCCUGGUAGUCCACGCUGUAAACGUUGGGCACUAGGUGUGGGGGCCACCCGUGGUUCCCGCGCCGUAGCUAACGCUUUAAGUGCCCCGCCUGGGGAGUACGGCCGCAAGGCUAAAACUCAAAGGAAUUGACGGGGGCCCGCACAAGCGGCGGAGCAUGCGGAUUAAUUCGAUGCAACGCGAAGAACCUUACCAAGGCUUGACAUGCGCCCCGGGCGCGCGGAGACGCGCGCGCAUUUGGUUGGGGGUGUGCAGGUGGUGCAUGGUUGUCGUCAGCUCGUGUCGUGAGAUGUUGGGUUAAGUCCCGCAACGAGCGCAACCCUUGCCCUAUGUUGCCAGCGCGUUGUGGCGGGGACUCGUGGGGGACUGCCGGGGUUAACUCGGAGGAAGGUGGGGAUGACGUCAAAUCAUCAUGCCCCUUAUGUCUUGGGCUUCACGCAUGCUACAAUGGCCGGUACAGAGGGUUGCGAUGCCGUGAGGCGGGGCGAAUCCCUUAAAGCCGGUCUCAGUUCGGAUUGGGGUCUGCAACUCGACCCCAUGAAGGUGGAGUCGCUAGUAAUCGCAGAUCAGCAACGCUGCGGUGAAUACGUUCUCGGGCCUUGUACACACCGCCCGUCACGUCACGAAAGUUGGUAACGCCCGAAGCCCAU
RNAcentral lists this ribosomal RNA (830 nucleotides) under uncultured bacterium. RNAcentral describes it as "bacterial SSU rRNA". It matches the Rfam family "Bacterial small subunit ribosomal RNA", at positions 603 to 1431 of the family's 1533-position model. The record is from RNAcentral.